GAUGAGGCGUGUGCUGUCAUUACUGUCCUAUUCGUUUGCGACCUCCAUUGCCAGUGGGUCUUAGUGCAUCGUGACAGUCCCACAUGGUGUGACAGUCGUCUAUAGCGGCAGGGACAGCGGGAGGCAGACGAUGGAAGGCUCCACCUCCAGCUGAAGGAGUCCCGCUGGUGGUGACUUCUGCUGGUCGCCCUGGUGUAGAGUCCUGCUGGUGGUGAGUUUCCCCAGCACCUGUACCGCAUCACUCAUCAGGUGCUCUUAAUGCUACAUCGGCCACACACCACUGGAAGAUAUUGCGUAUAAUAUCGUCUUAUUAUCACCUUUUUCGCUUAGUUUCCUCUUAUAGUUCCUGCUCUUUUUUCUGUACAUGAUAUAUGAACUGCGCUUGUGUGUGUGAAUCUUUCAUUACCUUUUUCCUUGUUAUCUUAUCUGGUUAGUGUCUAUGUGUCUUUCCUUCCUUCCACGUGUGCCUGUCAUUAUGAACUUUCUGUGAUAGUUCCUGCUUCUUUUUCCGUAUACAGUCUAUGGUCUGCGCUUUUGUGUGCGAGUCUUUUAUUACUUUAUCUGAUAUCUUAUCUCGCUAGUAUCUACCCGUCUUUCCUUCUCAAAUCUGUACUUUUUAGCUCUCAGUAUAAAACUUCCUUUGAUUGUUCCUGUUCCUUUUUCCUUGUAUAAUUCAGGAUCUGCG
Molecule: long non-coding RNA, 685 nt
Organism: Scylla paramamosain (green mud crab)
Lineage: Eukaryota; Metazoa; Arthropoda; Malacostraca; Decapoda; Portunidae
Exons: 3
Source: RefSeq, a predicted model, not a curated record